UGUGUUGUGGCUCAGUGGUAGAGUGCUUGCUUGCCAGGCAUGUGUGAGGCAUUGGGUUCAAUUCUCAGUACCGCAU
RNAcentral lists this transfer RNA (76 nucleotides) under Ictidomys tridecemlineatus (thirteen-lined ground squirrel). Its description in RNAcentral is "Spermophilus tridecemlineatus (thirteen-lined ground squirrel) tRNA". It matches the Rfam family "tRNA". Rfam says of the family: Transfer RNA (tRNA) molecules are approximately 80 nucleotides in length. Their secondary structure includes four short double-helical elements and three loops (D, anti-codon, and T loops). The record is from Rfam by way of RNAcentral. Lineage: Eukaryota; Metazoa; Chordata; Mammalia; Rodentia; Sciuridae.